AACAACAACACAGAAUUUACUAAUGACGAAAGUAUCGCAAAGGCCGCAAACAAAUCGGUGGGCGAGG
This 67-nucleotide small RNA is filed under the name Minutocellus polymorphus. Its description in RNAcentral is "partial Betaproteobacteria transfer-messenger RNA". The record is from RNAcentral. Lineage: Eukaryota; Bacillariophyta; Thalassiosirophyceae; Cymatosirales; Cymatosiraceae.